This is a long non-coding RNA of Labeo rohita (rohu), 329 nucleotides long. RefSeq lists it as uncharacterized. The transcript is spliced from 4 exons. The record is from RefSeq and is a predicted model, not a curated record. Lineage: Eukaryota; Metazoa; Chordata; Actinopteri; Cypriniformes; Cyprinidae.
AAUGAAGAGGCACCAGUUCCAGUUGCCACAAAAAGGCGAUGGACACAGAAUACAAUAGUUGCAAAAAAAAAAGAAGAUCAUACAAGACAUGGCUUAUUCCAGAUAUAAAGAAAACAUUUCCAAUGAUGAUAGUGGUGACAAUUUCAGCAAAUCUAACAGGAACUCUCCUGAUGCUCAUGUGAGGAUACAGUUGCUUUGUGUCUUCUUACAUUUCUGUCUUUUUGAAAUGGUGCUUCUUUACCAUCAUGCACAGAUGAGGAAACUUUUCUACUGAUGAUGACAAUGAGGUCGUCAGCGAUGCUGAUGGGAACUUUACAGAUGCUGAUGUG